RNAcentral lists this transfer RNA (73 nucleotides) under Gammaproteobacteria bacterium. Its description in RNAcentral is "tRNA-OTHER". It matches the Rfam family "tRNA". From Rfam's summary of the family: Transfer RNA (tRNA) molecules are approximately 80 nucleotides in length. Their secondary structure includes four short double-helical elements and three loops (D, anti-codon, and T loops). Further hydrogen bonds mediate the characteristic L-shaped molecular structure. tRNAs have two regions of fundamental functional importance: the anti-codon, which is responsible for specific mRNA codon recognition, and the 3' end, to which the tRNAs corresponding amino acid is attached (by aminoacyl-tRNA synthetases). tRNAs cope with the degeneracy of the genetic code in two manners: having more than one tRNA (with a specific anti-codon) for a particular amino acid; and 'wobble' base-pairing, i.e. permitting non-standard base-pairing at the 3rd anti-codon position. The record is from RNAcentral. Lineage: Bacteria; Pseudomonadati; Pseudomonadota; Gammaproteobacteria.
GCGGAUAUAGCUCAGUUGGGUAGAGCAAUCGAUGCCACUCGAUCGGCCGGAGGUUCGAAUCCUCCUAUCCUCA